GGUCCACUCCAGAGUUCUCCAGCUUGUCUUUCAGGACUGUGGGAAGAAUAGUGUUGAAGGCACUGGAGAAAUCAAAGAACAUGAUUCUCACAGUGCUCCCAGCGGUCUCCAGGUGAGAGAAGGAACGAUGCACGAGGUGAAUGGCGGCAUCAUCCGCUCCAAUGCCAGGCUGGUAGGCAAACUGAAGUGGGUCCAAUGAUGAGCUCACCAGGCGCCGAAGCUGAGUCAGGACCAGCUGCUCCAGGGUCUUCAUCAGACUGAGAAGAUGUGGCAGUGAAGAUGAUGCCUUCAGAUAAUAUCUUGGUUUUCUCUACAAGAAAGCUGACUAGGAGUCUAGCCAGGUGCCUGAGCAAGGACCAGGGUUUUUGACACAAUCUUAGCAGUUUCUAAUGACUUUGGGCUUUAAAUGUCAAUAUGGACGGCAUUGAUGAAAGCUACAUCUGGGAGCGCCGCAUUGCCCAUGGCAUUAGGUAUCAAAGAGGAGCAGUCCCCUUCCCAGAAUCGGUUGAUAUUGGUCUGGAGUUCAAUGCGGCACUUGAAAGGAAGGAGAAGCUGGAUCAGAGCCUGCUGACGAAUAGUGUUAUGCUGGAAAUUUGUCAGUUUGCCAAAACGGUGACCAGGUCUGAGAAGUAUUUCUUGUUCGAAAUGCUGGAGUUCAACUUCGACCUUGGCUUUGACAUAAACAAUGACAGUCUGUGCUACAUCUAUGCAGUUCGUGUCCACAACAGAAUUAAGCACCUGAAGGAGCAAAUAAAGAUGAAGCCAAAUAGAUGGAAAGAAACAUUUCAGUUGCCAGAUCCAAGUGUUUUAGCCGGGUCCAAAGAAGACGUGUCAGGACGAUACUGUCCAAAAUGGAACAAAAUUGCUGAUAGUUCAGUGCUCACUGUCUCCAGCAAGAACUGCCAGUCUUCAGACAACCACGAAGCUGAAACUACCAGAGUUGCUAGCAAUAAAUACACUGCAAAACAACAAGGAGGAAUCCGUUUAAGAAAAACACAGGGCGCUAACCCUUUCUGUGCACAGCUUGGUGUGACCCUAGCUAUUCGACCAAGUCACGCCCCCAAACAGAAGUUGGACCCAAGUCUGCUCAUCAAUGGUGUGAUGAUAGAGAUGCUUGAUUUUUCCCGAGUGCUGUGUGGAAAACACACUUACAUAGUUUAUGAACUGGUCAAGCACAACUUUGGUUAUGCUUUUAAUAAACCUCAGUUCCGAAUGUGUCUAAAUAGGGUGAUAGAGAGAAAAUACACCUGUCUGACAGCUGAGGACAAAGACACUUUCAGAAAGGAACUUUUUAAGAUCCCGGCUGAGAAGAAUAAAUUGGAAUAUAAAGGUAAAAAAAGAAAAACACCUGAUGCAGAUAACCAAGAACUGGAAGCACAAAUUCUGGCCACCAAUAAAAGACAAACACGGAAGCAGCAGGCUAGCAAAAUGGAGGAGUUGAAGGAGGAUGAUUUGUCAUACAUGUGUCCUGUUGAGUUUGAGACAGAAUUCCAGUCAGGAACAGAACCUGAACCAGAAAAUGUGAAACCUGAAAGUUGUUUGUCAGGAACAGAGGUAGAAAUGAACAUGCUACAGGAUGUAAAGCCAGAAGAGGAAGAAGUCUUCAUCUCACCAAUGCAGCCUUUGAAUAAUGGCCACAAAUCUUCUUUGUCACCCACACAGGCAAAGGAUGCAAGUCAGGAAUCAUACUGGUGUCUGUUCUCUGAGGGAAGAUGUGCAGAAACCUCAAAGCAGAGGCUGUGGCUGAGGCGCGCUGCUCGCACAAAACAGAUCCUGACAUCGAGCCGAGUGAAUGACAUGUUCGCCCAUUGCAGAGAGAUCGGAUUAGACUUCAACUUUUGUUCACCAAAACGGAGCUUAGAUCUACAACUGUUGAGCAACUGGGUGAUGUGGGAGGUUUUCAAGUUUGGAACUGCUUUGUUGAGGAGUGUACGCAGUUUUUUAUUUGAAAUUCUCUUAAACAACUUUACUCUUACGCUCCAAGAUGAGCAACAUGAGCGCAAUUUCUUAGUUUACAUGAUGGCAAAACAUAAAAAUCUUGUGAGCCACCCAAAGAGUCAGAAUAUGGAUUUUCUCUGCAAGCCUUUCAAACUUCCUGAGAUUUACCACAUGGUUGAUGUGACCAGCAAUUUUCAGACUCAACAGGAACUCCAGAGUCAAGGGCAGGAAGGGUUAGAUUCAUCAGAUUCAGCAAAGAGUGAAGAAGCUGAAAAAGAAAAACACCCUUUCUGUAAAAAGUUGGGUCUAAACCUUUGGUCAACCAAAGAACGCCCAUCAGACCAGAAGCUUGAUUUGACCGUCCUGACAACCGGCGCUGUGCUUGAGAUCUUCAGCUUUGUAAAGGAGCUGUGUGGUGAGGCCCGCAAUACUGUUAAUGACAUUCUUGAGCACAAUUUUGAUCUUGAUCUUCAAAGUGGUGAGACUGAGGCUGCGCAGAAGAUCCAGAGAUGGUACACAACACAGAAAAGCUUGAUGAAAAAGCAAAACAUGUCACCGAAAAUCAACAGGUGGUUAAAUAUGAUCGUCCCGCUGAAUGGCAACUUGCAAGAGAUUCCACACUCACCAACUGAAGAUGGGGACCCAGAUCUAGAAGGGGAGCUGGAUGGCUUUGGUGGAUUUGUCAAAUGCUUUGACUACCAGAACUGCAAGGAGAUCGGACUGGACCUCGACCCCAGCUCCAAAUCAGAAACCAAAACAAAACUUGAUUUGCAAGUUCUGACAAGAGGAGUUUUGUUUGAGGUGCACCAAUAUGUGCAGCAAAACUACAACCGAUAUGUUCCUGCUCUGUAUGAGAUUCUGGAGUACAACUUUGAUCUGAGCUCUCAGAGCCACCGGAAGGUGGAGUUCGCCUGGUCCAUCGCCUCACAGGUCAUAGCCAUGACUGGCAAAAAACGCAGAAAAGGGGAUUACCUGAACAAAGUUUUUGAGCUCCCUUUCGAGGUCUCCAAGUUCCCUGAGUCUUCCCAGGUGGUCUUUAAAGAGGAGCCGGAGGAUGACUUUGGCGAGCCGGACCUUAAUAAUGACAAUGAUGACAUUGUGUUUGUCCGAAAACUGAAGCCUGUUGAUAUGGAAGUCGAGAUAGAAUAAAGUCCUAGCUGCUGUUUGUAUUUUAAAUGUCAGUUUUCAGGAUAGAGCUGCAACUGAAUCGCUUUAUAUCUACUUAAACCAGUUAAAUUUACCUUUACCCAUUUAUAUAGAAAUGGGGAUCCUCUUCCUGUUUCUGUUCAGCGUGUGCCUAAAAUCCAGCUUGACCUUAACCCUGGUGGACAUAAAGAAGAUGAGAGUGAUCGAUUUUUGUUUUGGUCUAUAAAGUGUCAAAAAACAACUCUCGUAAUCUUUUUUUUUUUCUUUUUUAACUGUUGACAUCUUGGAUUACUUGUGUUCUAGCAAAUGUCUUUUAACUCAAAGAAGAAAUACUCGCAUUCAAUCAUGAAGGCCAAAUAAAUAUCUCAGAUGUGCUGCAGAUGUUUACAGGGGGCAGGAAAAAUAAAGAUUAAACUUUGUUCUCAAGUUAGUGAAUGUUAUUGCCCACCAGAUCCAGCUGUGUCUCUGGAAGUGGGGUCUUUGCAGUCUCGAUUACAACGAAAGACAAUAAAGGUUCUAAAAUGUGAACGACGUGUUACUGCUGGGCCUCCUCGACUCCACUGUGGUUCAGUGCUGCUUUAUUCACAGUAGAGUUCUUUUGCUUAUAAUUAUGUGUGUUACGACUGGAGUGUAACAAAAAAGUUGUGCCACUUUUUUUCUCCAAACAAGGAAGUAGACUAUCCACGUUAAUGUUAACCGGUAGAAAUUCAACCCUCAGUGAUGUGAGUUAAAGAGGACAGAAUGAAUGGUCAAGGCUGCCAUAUUGGUAUUUAAUUGUUUUGACUGAUUCGUGAUGUCAACUCCAUCAUUUAAUAAAAUGUGAAAGAAAACAUUCCACCUUAAAAUUUGGUCAGUGUUCAUAAUUAUUUGUCUCUUGACUUUAUGUUAAUAGUAAAGAUCAAAAGUCGGUGAAAUAUCUUGUUCUUGUAAAAGUUUACAUAAAGUAGUGCAUACUGCUGUAGUUUAACAUUCAUGUUGCUCAUUUUCUUUAUUUACAUGAAAUAAAGAAAAUGAGUUUUGAGCUUUCGAGUCAUGACCAGGUAUUUUGGCAGAUGUUCCAGUUCAUAUUUAGUUUGUUUUUAUAUGUGAAGGAAAAUCAGAAGUCAUAAUUUUUAAAGACUUUUCUUGGCAAACCAAAUUUAUACAAAGAUUCACUGUUUUCUAGCUUCUGAAAUUCUCUGUAUGCUAAAUAUUGGUUGGUUAGUCUGGUCAGUCCUUAAAAAGUUAGUGGACAAGCAGAAGCUGGGAUCUGGGAGGUUAUCCUAAUAUUGAUGUAAAAACAAUAAGGAAAUGAAUAAAUGUAGUUUGAAGUGACUUUUUAAAAUCAGGCUGCAGAUGAUCUGAUUGUAUUCUGGUGAUAUUUUAUGUUAAAUGAUGUUUGAAGAUUCAGAGUCUGA
Oreochromis aureus is the source of this 4481-nucleotide long non-coding RNA. The record is from Ensembl. Lineage: Eukaryota; Metazoa; Chordata; Actinopteri; Cichliformes; Cichlidae.